GACGAACGCUGGCGGCGUGCCUAAUACAUGCAAGUCGAACGCUUUUUCUUUCACCGGAGCUUGCUCCACCGAAAGAAAAAGAGUGGCGAACGGGUGAGUAACACGUGGGUAACCUGCCCAUCAGAAGGGGAUAACACUUGGAAACAGGUGCUAAUACCGUAUAACACUAUUUUCCGCAUGGAAGAAAGUUGAAAGGCGCUUUUGCGUCACUGAUGGAUGGACCCGCGGUGCAUUAGCUAGUUGGUGAGGUAACGGCUCACCAAGGCAACGAUGCAUAGCCGACCUGCGAGGGUGAUCGGCCACACUGGGACUGAGACGCGGCCCAGACUCCUACGGGAGGCAGCAGUAGGGAAUCUUCGGCAAUGGACGAAAGUCUGACCGAGCAACGCCGCGUGAGUGAAGAAGGUUUCCGGAUCGUAAAACUCUGUUGUUAGAGAAGAACAAGGAUGAGAGUAAAAUGUUCAUCCCUUGACGGUAUCUAACCAGAAAGCCACGGCUAACUACGUGCCAGCAGCCGCAGUAA
This 523-nucleotide ribosomal RNA is filed under the name uncultured bacterium. RNAcentral's name for it is "partial 16S ribosomal RNA". It matches the Rfam family "Bacterial small subunit ribosomal RNA", at positions 28 to 523 of the family's 1533-position model. The record is from RNAcentral.